Molecule: ribosomal RNA, 254 nt
Filed under: uncultured bacterium
Lineage: Bacteria
Description: partial 16S ribosomal RNA
Rfam family: Bacterial small subunit ribosomal RNA
Source: RNAcentral
UACGAAGGGGGGCUAGCGUUGUUCGGAAUUACUGGGCGUAAAGGGCGCGUAGGCGGCCAUUCAAGUUAGGUGUGAAAGCCCUGGGCUCAACCUAGGAAUUGCACUUGGUACUGUUUGGCUUGAGUUCGGGAGAGGUGAGUGGAAUUCCCAGUGUAGCAGUGAAAUGCGUAGAGAUGUGGAGGAACACCGAUGGCGAAGGCAGCCCCCUGGGUCAAGAUUGACGCUCAUGCACGAAAGCGUGGGGAGCAAACAGG